AACUCCAAGGAACCAUAAGGCACAGUGGAGCCCUACAGGCAAGAUGAUGGUGCCUUGGAGAAAGCAUAUUUAAGAAAGGGUAAAAUGUAGAAGCAGACAUGGAAAAUAUUGAUGUGUAUUGGUAUACACAUGGAAAAAGGAAAAGACAUGCCCAAUCUACAAAGCAGAUAUUGAGGCAUGACUGAGAUUUUCCAGAAGAGG
RNAcentral lists this long non-coding RNA (201 nucleotides) under Parus major (Great Tit). Its description in RNAcentral is "lncRNA (ENSPMJG00000013157.1)". Lineage: Eukaryota; Metazoa; Chordata; Aves; Passeriformes; Paridae. The record is from RNAcentral.